CUCCCGCCGGCGACCGGCGCACGGGUGAGUAACACGUAUGAAACCUGCCCGUAGCAGGGGGAUAAGCGGAAGAAAUUCCGUCUAAUACCGCGUAACAACCCGAGGAGGCAUCUCCUCGGGUUUAAAGGAAGCGAUUCCGGCUACGGAUGGUCAUGCGUCGCAUUAGCUUGUUGGCGGGGUAACGGCCCACCGAGGCGACGAUGCGUAGGGGUUCUGAGAGGAAGGCCCCCCACACUGGUACUGAGACACGGACCAGACUCCUACGGGAGGCAGCAG
RNAcentral lists this ribosomal RNA (276 nucleotides) under uncultured bacterium. RNAcentral describes it as "partial 16S ribosomal RNA". It matches the Rfam family "Bacterial small subunit ribosomal RNA", at positions 82 to 354 of the family's 1533-position model. The record is from RNAcentral.